RNAcentral lists this ribosomal RNA (77 nucleotides) under Danio rerio (zebrafish). The record is from RNAcentral. Lineage: Eukaryota; Metazoa; Chordata; Actinopteri; Cypriniformes; Danionidae.
UUCUGAAGCUAUGCAGGGCUGAGCCUGGUCAGUACCUGGAUGGGAGACCACAUGGAAUAACUAGGUUGCUAUUGGAA